This 301-nucleotide ribosomal RNA is filed under the name uncultured bacterium. Its description in RNAcentral is "partial 16S ribosomal RNA". It matches the Rfam family "Bacterial small subunit ribosomal RNA", at positions 509 to 808 of the family's 1533-position model. The record is from RNAcentral.
CAGUCGCCGCGGUAAUACGAAGGGUGCAAGCGUUAAUCGGAAUUACUGGGCGUAAAGCGUGCGCAGGCGGUUUGUUAAGACAGAUGUGAAAUCCCCGGGCUCAACCUGGGAACUGCAUUUGUGACUGGCAAGCUAGAGUGUGGCAGAGGGGGGUGGAAUUCCGCGUGUAGCAGUGAUGUGCGUAGAUAUGCGGAGGAACACCGAUGGCGAAGGCAGCCCCCCUGGGCCAACACUGACGCUCAUGCACGAAAGCGUGGGGAGCAAACAGGAUUAGAUACCCCUGUAGUCCCUGUCUCUUAUA